This 1349-nucleotide ribosomal RNA is filed under the name Candidatus Thalassarchaeaceae archaeon. RNAcentral's name for it is "partial 23S ribosomal RNA". It matches the Rfam family "Archaeal large subunit ribosomal RNA", at positions 52 to 1445 of the family's 2987-position model. The record is from RNAcentral. Lineage: Archaea; Methanobacteriati; Thermoplasmatota; Candidatus Poseidoniia; Candidatus Poseidoniales; Candidatus Thalassarchaeaceae.
AAGGUCGUGCCAAGCAGCGAUAUGCUUCGGGGAGGCGCAUGGAACCUUUGAUCCGAAGAUUGCCGAAUGGGACUUCCCAGACCUAAGUCUAAUCCUUCACAGGAUGGGGAACGCCCCGAAUUGAAACAUCUUAGUAGGGGCAGGAAAAGAAAUCAAAUGAGAUGGGGUAAGUAAAGGCGAUCGAACACCCCUUUACGGGCAAACCGAAUCCCGCAUUGAGAAUUGCGGGAAAUGUGGAUGGCCCGGUUACGUCCUAACUCUCAUAUCCGAAGUUCGUGUGGAACGCCGGUGCCAGAGAGGGUGACAGCCCCGUAGGAGAAAGAGAGCAGGACGAUUUCCGGGACCCAAGAGUAGCGUGCGUUGGAUAUCGCGCGUGAAGACGGGAGGUACUAACUUCCAACCCUGAAUACAGACCGAGACCGAUAGCGUACUAGUAGCGUGAGCGAAAGUUGUAAAGCAUCCCUAGCGGGAGAAUAGAAAGACCCUGAAAUCAGGUGGUUACAGACUGAUACGGCGUGCAAGGGAAGAGGCGGUAACACCACUGCUGACCGGCGUCGUAUCGUCCGAUUCGAAAAUUGGCCCAUGGAGUUUCUUUCACUGGCAAGGUUAAGCACGUAAGUGCGAAGCCGCAGGGAAACCGACAGUCCGCAGCAUUGCAAGGGACGGCGUGUGCUCGCGCGGAGUCAGUGGAUGGAUACCCGAAGCCGGUCGAUCUAUGCCUGGGCAGGGUGAAGCCUUUCGGAAGAAGGGUGGAGGCCCGCACCAGUACUGAUGUGCAAAUCGUUUGGAUGACCUGGGUAUAGGGGCGAAAGACCAAUCUAGACCGGUAAUAGCUGGUUCCUCUCGAAACUGCUCGCAGGCAGACCUCAGCUGAGACGGGGCAUGCGGUAGAGCACUGAUUGCGUGUUUAGGAAGCGAAAGUUUUCGGCAUGCUGUCAAACUCCGAAUGUGUGUCCGUUGUAGAAGCUGGGCAGUGAGGGCAUCGGGGUAAGCUUGAUGUCCAUAAGGAAAACAAACCAGACCAAAGUUAAGGUCCCUAAGUAACAGCUAAGUGUUAAAGAACAAAUAGUGUUUGAAGGCAUAGACAGCUGGAAGGUUGGCUUAGAGGCAGCCAUCCUUUAAAGAGUUCGUAACAGAUCACCAGUCAAGUCUCUGAGCCUAGAAAAUGGACGGGACUAAGUUGUUCACCGAUACUUUGGGCCACCGAAAGGUGAUGCGGUAGAGAGGCGUCGUGCGCGGGUGGAAGUGGGGCCGUGAGGUCCUGUGGACCGCGUUCGAAUGAUAAUCAUGGAAAUAGUAGUAGCGUAGAUGGGUGAGAAUCCCAUCCGCCGGAGGGGCUAGGGUUCCUC